GAUGAAGAACGUAGCGAAAUGCGAUAAGUAAUGCGAAUUGCAGAAUUCCGUGAGUCAUCGAAUCUUUGAACGCACAUUGCGCCCUCUGGUAUUCCGGAGGGCAUGCCUGUCUGAGCGUCAUUGUCAACCCUCAAGCUCAGCUUGCUGUUGGGUCCCCGUCGUUGCUUUAACGGCGGACCCGAAAGGUAAUGGCAGAGUCCGUGAGACCCUAGACGCAGCGAGCUUCUAGCACGCGUCUGGACGUUUUUCGGGCUCGGUCUUAAACUAGAUGAUAACUUCCGAUUGACCUCAGAUCAGGUAGGGAUACCCGCUGAACUUAAGCAUAUCAAUGCGGAGGA
Molecule: unclassified non-coding RNA, 338 nt
Filed under: soil metagenome
Description: partial contains 5.8S ribosomal RNA, internal transcribed spacer 2, and large subunit ribosomal RNA
Rfam family: 5.8S ribosomal RNA (bases 1-120)
Source: RNAcentral